UAGGGAAUAUUGCACAAUGGGCGAAAGCCUGAUGCAGCAACGCCGCGUGAGUGAUGAAGGCCUUCGGGUCGUAAAACUCUUUUCGGGGAGAUGAGGAAGGACAGUAUCCCCGGAAUAAGAUUCGGCUAACUACGUGCCAGCAGCCGCGGUAACACGUAGGAAUCGAGCGUUAUCCGAAUUUACUGGGCGUAAAGCGCGUGCAGGCGGUCUGAUAAGUUGGAUGUGAAAGCUCCUGGCUCAACUGGGAGAGGCCGUUCAAGACUGUCAGACUUGAGGAUGGUAGAGGAAGGUAGAAUUCCCGGUGUAGUAGUGAAAUGCGUAGAUAUCGGGAGGAAUACCAGUGGCGAAGGCGGCCUUCUGGACCAUUUCUGACGCUAAGACGCGAAAGCUAGGGGAGCGA
Molecule: ribosomal RNA, 400 nt
Filed under: uncultured bacterium
Lineage: Bacteria
Description: bacterial SSU rRNA
Rfam family: Bacterial small subunit ribosomal RNA
Source: RNAcentral